This 3668-nucleotide long non-coding RNA is filed under the name Dunaliella salina. RNAcentral describes it as "long non-coding RNA (DSAL_LNC000311)". The record is from RNAcentral. Lineage: Eukaryota; Viridiplantae; Chlorophyta; Chlorophyceae; Chlamydomonadales; Dunaliellaceae.
CCUUGACCAUGUUCAGCAACAUGAGCAGCAGUGUGACACAGGGCCUGUUCGGCAGCAGCUUCACGGCAGCUGCAGCGGCGCCCCCUGCAGGAGCUGAGACGCAGAAGAAGACUGUGGCAGCGCCCUAUGGCAACAUUGGUGCUUGGGCAGAGGAAGUGCUCUACGGAAAGAGGCAAGUGUGCAUGUGUGCUGGGGUGUGUGUGUCUCCUUGAAGCAGGCUGUGUGGGCACCAACAGGCUGCAAUCUACAUUUCACCCAACACAGAUGACGAUGCCGCAUGCACAUGUAUGCAAAUGCACUGAUUGUACAACGAUUUUACUGCAGCAACAUGUAAUACCCUACCCUAUGCACGCAGCUGUCUUUGCGCAUGAAAAAAUAAUCCCCCUUGCAUUUAGAAGUUUGCUUCAGCAGAAGAUCCUGCAGGAAGGUUACAGAAGGUAAAAGAAAUUAAAGAUCGGGGAAUUGCUCAGGCAAGUGGACAUGCAUGCUGUGUGCGUCUGCUUGCGCAACUCCUCAGUCGGGUCUCUUGUCAAAAUGACUGACUUCCAACCUUUUCUAUUGCAUCAAGGCCAGGCUCCCAUGACCAGAUGUGCUUGAACAAACCUGCCUCCAGGAAACUUUGCUCAUCAAGAUUGCUUGCACAUUAGUGCAUUGCUGUUGACAAGUAAGUGAUCCAUACCUACUUGGUGAGGUGUGAUGCAGCAUCGCUGCUGCAUGCCCUCAUGGCAAAAUCCCAUCUUUUGUCACAACAUGUUCAUGGGCAUGGCUCUCGCAUAGAGCCCUGGCCAGCCCGCUUGUCAUGAAUGCUUAAUUGACCUGGCUGGCCAACCUUCAGUGACCCUCCGCCUGCUCCAUCCAUUGCACAGCCUCUGAGGCCUUUCUUGGUGCAAGUGCUAGUGCAAGCUGUGUUUAGUCGACCCGACAGGCCAUCCUGCGGCGAUUCGUGGCCUGCUCCAUCCAGUGCACAGCCUCUGAGGCCCUUCUUGAAUGCAAGUGCUAGUGCAAGCUGUGAUUGGUUGACCUGGAGGACCAUCCUGCAGCAAUUCUUGGCCGGCUCAACCCAUUGCACAGCCACUGAGGCCUCUCUGGAGUGCAAGCGCUAGUGCAAGCUGUUGUUAGUUGACCUGGCAAGCCAUUCUUCAGUGACCCAGGGCACAGCCUAUGAGGCCUUCCUGAGUGCAAGUGCUAGUGCAAGCUGUUAUUAGUUGACCUGGCAAGCCAUUCUUCAGUGACCCAGGGCACAGCCUCUGAGGCCUUUCUUGUAAGCAAACGCUAGUGCAAGCUGUUAUUAGUUGACCUGGCAAGCCAUUCUUCAGUGACCCAGGGCACAGCCACUGAGGCCUUUCUUGAGUGCAUGCGCUAGUGCAAGCUGUUGUUAGCCGACCUGGCAAGCCAUUCUUCAGUGACCCAGGGCACAGCCACUGAGGCCUCCCUGAGCGCGAGUGCCUGCACUGUGCAAACUAUAGACCACUUUGUUGACUGAGGCGUGAAUCAGCUUCCUUCCAAGUCCUUUCCAUCCAAGUUUCCUGCAUUGUUGUGUUCCAGUGUCGUAAGGGAGAGUGAUGAUGCACUGUGGAACCCACUGUCAGCUGCACCUUGUCACCCCUGUCGUAUCCAGUGCUUACUUUUGUUACCAACCUUGUGGCCGUGGUUGCAGGAUCAUAAAUUAAUGCCUUACGCUGUGCAGACGAAAGGGCUUGCUUGUUUGGAUCUGCCGUUCCCAUUUUUGGACUGUGCAGGCAAAUGACAGCUUGCCUUCUCAGGACCCCCCUUCACACUAUUCCUAAUUGCAUGGAGUCCGUGUCAAGGGUUGUUUGUACGGCGCUGAGAGCAAGGCCACUCGGCUUACGAUGAAAUUGGUGCAGUUCAGGGAUCCUAUUCCUGGACUGUGGCAAUUCACAGCUUGCCUGCUAAGGGAUUGGGUUUAGAUUCUUGGACUGCACGGGCACAUGACAGCUUGCCUUCAUAUUCCCCAUUUCUAUACUUUCCAUGUUUUCCACCCAUUCUUCUUACAGGUCACAGGGUACAUGAAGAGCCAUCUGUCCAGCGUACGACUGCCAGGCUAAAUCGUCUCACAGACCAGGCCAUGCUUCUCAUGGACAGGUGCAGCUCUCCACUGAUCUCCCCUUCCCUUUCCUUGCCUGUGCCUGGGCAGGGGUGUUGGUGCGUACGCUGUGGACCACACCGGCACGCUGAAGAGCAAGACAGCCUCCGGCCUCAGCAUCACCGGCACAACCACCAGGUGAGUGCUGGAUUGAGCCUCAAUGCGGGCUCUGCGAUACUUGGAGCCUGAAGAGCAAGGCAGCCUUCUGGCCUCAGCAUCACUGGCACAAUUUCCAGGUGACGCUGGGAGCUGUGAUUUGGUGCUCUGCAUUACUCCUUGAAAUCCUGCCCUGACCAACUAAAUGCACAACCAGCCAAUCUGCUGGUGGGCCAUAGCAGAAUUCCAGGGACCAUGGACUGCCUGUGUUUUAUGUUCCCAUUCUAGAUUUUCCACGUGGUAUAUUGUCCUGGGGGUGGGAUUUGUGAUGCCCCCUUACUUGUGUGAAGUUGUGCAUACCUGGCUGUGAGAGCGCACACGGGUGCAUGUGCGCAUGCGCGCGCGCGCGCACAUUCACACACACACACACACACACACACACACACACACACACACACAUACACGCACACACGCAUACACACACACGCGCGCACAUAAACACACUGAGUGUCCUCACCUAAAAGCCAGUGACAUUUGUUUAGCAAUCGGCGUUGGCCUAUGCCGGUACAUAUUGUGUUGCGCUAAAUAGCGCUAUACAAUUUUGGAGUAUAGCACGUGCUAAAAUUGAGUACAGCAAAAAAAUCAACAGCACAUCCGUCGUGCUCGAUUCUGUGUCGCACAUCCCAGUCAAAUGACCAACUGGCCACUGGCUUUGAAAUUUUGUAUGCAUAUAUGCAACAAGGCGAGCGCUGGGGAAGGGCAAGGAGCGUGGACUCAGAGGAGAGACCACACACACACACACACACACACACACACACACACACACACACACACACACACGCACACAAGCUUUCAUGGUAGUCAUGUGAGCACAUCUGCAGGGCCGCAGCCCCCUGCCUGAGCAGGUAUAGCGCUAUGUUUUGGCUAGAUCAUGCCCAAAGCUCGGCAGAGUUCAUCUCUGAGUAUCAAGUUGUGCAAGGAGAAGGGGCAUUGUGCACCAUCCCCCACCAUCUCCCACCAGCUUGCCGGUUCUGAUGGCCAAGUCUGAUGCCGAAGCUCGACUUGCAAGGGGGGUGUCUGGUGAAAUAUAGCAUUUUAAUAUAGUGCAAUAUAGCACUGUAUUGCUUUGUAGCGCUAUAUAGCGCUGUAGGGUUGGCUCAUAUAACGCUACAUGCCGAUUUCUACAUUUUUAAUUUAUAACGUAAUUUGUAAUGCCAUGAUUUGUGCAUAAAUGAAGCGGCAUGACAUGAGCUUUGGGUACGAGCUGUGAGACAGCUAGCCACCUGGGGAAGUAUCCACACUACAGGAGACCUGCCAGCCUGAAGGCCUGAAAGCCUGAAGGCAGCUAGCCGCCAAGGGAAGAGUUCAUGCUAUGGAAGGCCUACUAACUGAAAUGCACGGUGCUUCUAUGAACGCCAUGUUUUGUGCGCGUGCUCAACAGGAGUGGCGCAACCGGCGCAGUGAGCAC